RNAcentral lists this ribosomal RNA (644 nucleotides) under Pristimantis tinguichaca. RNAcentral describes it as "partial 16S ribosomal RNA". The stretch from base 387 to 633 matches the Rfam family "Archaeal large subunit ribosomal RNA", at positions 1787 to 2143 of the family's 2987-position model. The record is from RNAcentral. Lineage: Eukaryota; Metazoa; Chordata; Amphibia; Anura; Strabomantidae.
UUAUCAUAAAUCACCUCCCACUUUAGAGCAAUUCAAAUGAGGUACAGCCCAUUUGAUAUAGGAUACAACCUUAACUAACGGGUAACAUUAAAUCUACACCUCCAAGUAGGCCUAAGAGCAGCCACCCUUUAAAAAAGCGUCAAAGCUUAAUCAUGUUCACAUCAAUUUUUAAUCUUCAAUUGACCCCUUUUACCUUACUGAGAAUUUCUAUAUCAUAUAGAAUAUUUUAUGCUAAAACUAGUAACAAGAGUAAACCCUCUCCCAAUGCAAACACAAGCCAGCAAGAACCCAUCACUGGCAAUUAACAGACUUAAACAAAAGUAGCAACAUCUCUAGAAAACCCUACUCAUCCCAACUGUUAACCUUAUACCAGAGCAUUUCAGGAAAGAUUAAAAGAAAAAGAAGGAACUCGGCAAACACUAAUCCCGCCUGUUUACCAAAAACAUCGCCUCUUGCCCCCAUAAGAGGUCAAGCCUGCCCAGUGACUUUGUUCAACGGCCGCGGUAUCCUAACCGUGCAAAGGUAGCGUAAUCACUUGUUUUCUAAAUAAAGACCAGUAUGAAAGGCAUCACGAGGAUUAAACUGUCUCCUUUUUCCAAUCAGUGAAACUAAUCUCCCCGUGAAGAAGCGGGGAUUAUCCUAUA